Molecule: long non-coding RNA, 1041 nt
Organism: Diceros bicornis minor
Lineage: Eukaryota; Metazoa; Chordata; Mammalia; Perissodactyla; Rhinocerotidae
Exons: 3
Source: RefSeq, a predicted model, not a curated record
UCACGGGGAUCAGCAAUUUCUCGGCUUGAAAGCGGCCGAGCAGGACCCCGCCCAGGCCGCUGGCUCAGGCCCAGCUGUACCCACCGGGCCACGGGUCCUGCGGUGAUGAGCCCUUUGAAGAAAGGAUUCUUCCAUCUGCUAAGUGAGGGGAAAUUCAACCUCAACCGUCCAAGGCAAAGGAGGAUUUAUUGGCUCAGGGAACUAGAAGAAAAAAGGUUUGUGGAAGAGGCUGACUCAGACAGGACUGUCCUGGGCCCCGGGGGGAGAGGAAUGUUUUACCUGCGCCUGUUGUUUUCACGGCAAGUUUGUUAAGGUCAUGAACAACUCUGGCUUGAAAGGACCACAGGAUCUCACCGUAACCCAGGUGUCGGCUGGUCGAUGUCCCCAAAUCCCGCAUCUACGGGGAGUCUAAAGCCGACCUCAAGGGGCUGCGUGAGGUGGGGCCCGUUUUCCCGUUUUACAGACAAGGAAGUCGAGGAGGGGUCAGGAGAAGGGACUUGAAGGUAAGUGGAGAUAUUUGGGUUCCUCUGGUGCUGUUUCCCCCCAGAGCCCAAGCCCCUAAUCAUUGCUCACUGUUCACUCAAUUUCAGUCAUUCACAGGCCACCGUCUCUGCUUUCCCACACGCACACCGUGGGGAUGAUCCUUUCCCCAAGGGUGGACAAACGCUUCCUGUGAAUGGUGAGAGUAAGUCUUUCAGGCUGCGUGGGGCACAUGAUUUCUGUCGUGGCUGCUCCACUCUGCCGGUGCAAAAACAGCUCAGCCAGAGACAAAAGAUCACCGACUCCGCGUGGCGGUGUGCCAGGGAAUUGGGUUUACAGAAACAGGUAGUUAGCCUGUGGGCCGUGGUUUGCUGACCCCGAUUCACUCAACAUUUUUCUUUAUAUAAUCCCAUUUUUGUUUCCACUAAAAAAAUUUUAUUUGAAAGGAAAAUUACAUCAGUGGAGUAGAUGGAAAACCAGCACGUCGUGCUGGAAAAGGAUGGUAACCAUAGAAAUAAAAACAAUAAACCUAGACCGAGGGGCUGCAUUCUGCACCGAGCC